Oncorhynchus nerka (sockeye salmon) is the source of this 1427-nucleotide long non-coding RNA. RefSeq lists it as uncharacterized. Lineage: Eukaryota; Metazoa; Chordata; Actinopteri; Salmoniformes; Salmonidae. The transcript has 2 exons. The record is from RefSeq and is a predicted model, not a curated record.
CCAGACAGGAUAGGUGAAAGCCCUGAUCUGGACAGACAGGAUAGGUGAAAGCCCUGAUCUGGACAGACAGGAUAGGUGAAAGCAAUUUGACGGAACCCUAAUAGAGGGCUUCCUUUUUCCAGUCCUGUAGAUUUGGAUCAGUGCGGCUGAAGGGAAGAGGUUGACCAGAGGAAGCCACAUUAGACCACUGAGAUGUACCCACAUAGGCUCCUGGUUCACACCAUUCCCCCAUCGGAUCCAAGGCACUAUGUGACCGACCCCAGGGAUCGUAAUAGUGCUAAAUGCUUGACAUGAGGUGAGCACCUAAUGGGUUAAAAACAGCGCAAACACCAGACGCAUUGACCACAAGUAGCAACACAACCUCUCAUCUGCAGGCCAAUGACAGUAUUAAUUGGUGCUUAUAGGCACUUUUGUCUAAAGACAGUGGAAAACACCUACUGCACAGACAUACAGCAAUUCACAUAUUUCAAAGUACUUUCAAUCAUUUUAGAUGACAAAGCCACAUUUUUAAAGCACAAAAAAACAGUAUUCACUUGACUCCAUGUUAACCCCACAGAACAAAGUUAUACACGCAGAAUCUGCAUUCAAACCAUUAACUUGUAUUUACUGAAUAACAAAUGUAUUAGCUAGUUGCUUUUGUUUGAAUUUACACUAACGAAAUACAAAGCAGUUGAAUCAUUGUAGAGCAGCAUAUGCCACAUAACCUAGAAGCCACUUGGAAAGAACCAUGAAUUUAGCCUGUCCAAAAUAUCUACCUAUCCCCUCACAUAAAAUGUAUUUGCAACAUUUCAAACUCCCUUAGCUGUACUACACAGAGAAAUAAGAUCAAGAUGUGCAACUACAAGGCCUACAAUAUGUUUAAACUUUUCCCUGUGCCAGCCCUCAUUUCUACUUUCAACACAACUGUAUCUUCUGUACUGUAACCCCCACACACUAGUGCCAAGCUAGUGUGAGAACUCUGGCAUUGGUGCCCCCUUCUGUAUGUGAUGGAGAAUAUAAAAUGGGGUCUCAGAAUGAGAACACAAGAUCAAACACCUAGGGCUCCUUUUGUGGAAAGAGGUUCAUUCUAAUCUUGGACUAAAAGGCAUCUGUGAUAGAGACUUCUCUGAAAGUGCUUUUUGGACCAGGAAUAGGCAUGAUCUGGGUCUGGGAAACCAGCAUAUCUACAACAGGUGUGUUACACUCAUUUUGCCACAAAGGGCCACAUUCUGUCUUCACUGAGGUCCACUUCUAUUGGUUAUAUUCCUUGCUGUCAAAAUUGGCAAAAAAUAGUUCUCUAUCCAUCAAAUUUUCUAUGCUCCCCGACUGUCUAGCUUUCAUUUCGAUGACUGUUAACAAGCUGGACAGAGUUUAGAGACUAUAAAUGAUGUCCACUAUAAUUUCUAGUUUCGAUUUGGUUUUAGGCAUGUCAUUUGAGAUCGGAAUAA